This is a non-coding RNA of Acanthosepion pharaonis, 114 nucleotides long. The record is from the annotation of a GenBank genome assembly. NCBI's taxonomy places the organism in Eukaryota, Metazoa, Mollusca, Cephalopoda, Sepiida, Sepiidae.
UUACGACCAUAUCGAACUGGAACACUGGUUCUCGUACGGUCAUCGAAGUUAAGCAACGUGGAGCCUGAUCAGCACCUGGAUUUGUGACCACUUGGGAAUACCAGGUGCUGUAAG